CCCUUGACUCUGGGAUAAGCCUGGGAAACUGGGUCUAAUACUGGAUACUACCUCUUACCGCAUGGUGGGUGGUGGAAAGGGUUUUACUGGUUUUGGAUGGGCUCACGGCCUAUCAGCUUGUUGGUGGGGUAAUGGCUCACCAAGGCGACGACGGGUAGCCGGCCUGAGAGGGUGACCGGCCACACUGGGACUGAGACACGGCCCAGACUCCUACGGGAGGCAGCAGUGGGGAAUAUUGCACAAUGGGCGGAAGCCUGAUGCAGCGACGCCGCGUGAGGGAUGACGGCCUUCGGGUUGUAAACCUCUUUCAGUAGGGAAGAAGCGAGAGUGACGGUACCUGCAGAAGAAGCGCCGGCUAACUACGUGCCAGCAGCCGCGGUAAUACGUAGGGCGCAAGCGUUGUCCGGAAUUAUUGGGCGUAAAGAGCUCGUAGGCGGUUUGUCGCGUCUGCUGUGAAAGCCCGGGGCUCAACCCCGGGUCUGCAGUGGGUACGGGCAGACUAGAGUGCAGUAGGGGAGACUGGAAUUCCUGGUGUAGCGGUGAAAUGCGCAGAUAUCAGGAGGAACACCGAUGGCGAAGGCAGGUCUCUGGGCUGUUACUGACGCUGAGGAGCGAAAGCAUGGGGAGCGAACAGGAUUAGAUACCCUGGUAGUCCAUGCCGUAAACGUUGGGCACUAGGUGUGGGGGACAUUCCACGUUUUCCGCGCCGUAGCUAACGCAUUAAGUGCCCCGCCUGGGGAGUACGGCCGCAAGGCUAAAACUCAAAGGAAUUGACGGGGGCCCGCACAAGCGGCGGAGCAUGCGGAUUAAUUCGAUGCAACGCGAAGAACCUUACCAAGGCUUGACAUUCACCGGACCGCCCCAGAGAUGGGGUUUCCCUUCGGGGCUGGUGGACAGGUGGUGCAUGGUUGUCGUCAGCUCGUGUCGUGAGAUGUUGGGUUAAGUCCCGCAACGAGCGCAACCCUCGUUCUAUGUUGCCAGCACGUGAUGGUGGGGACUCAUAGGAGACUGCCGGGGUCAACUCGGAGGAAGGUGGGGAUGACGUCAAAUCAUCAUGCCCCUUAUGUCUUGGGCUUCACGCAUGCUACAAUGGCCGGUACAAAGGGUUGCGAUACUGUGAGGUGGAGCUAAUCCCAAAAAGCCGGUCUCAGUUCGGAUUGAGGUCUGCAACUCGACCUCAUGAAGUCGGAGUCGCUAGUAAUCGCAGAUCAGCAACGCUGCGGUGAAUACGUUCCCGGGCCUUGUACACACCGCCCGUCAAGUCACGAAAGUUGGUAACACCCGAAGCCGG
This 1291-nucleotide ribosomal RNA is filed under the name Kocuria sp. RNAcentral describes it as "bacterial SSU rRNA". It matches the Rfam family "Bacterial small subunit ribosomal RNA", at positions 129 to 1430 of the family's 1533-position model. The record is from RNAcentral. Lineage: Bacteria; Bacillati; Actinomycetota; Actinomycetes; Micrococcales; Micrococcaceae.